This 301-nucleotide ribosomal RNA is filed under the name uncultured bacterium. Its description in RNAcentral is "partial 16S ribosomal RNA". It matches the Rfam family "Bacterial small subunit ribosomal RNA", at positions 509 to 807 of the family's 1533-position model. The record is from RNAcentral.
CAGCCGCCGCGGUAACACGAAGGGUGCAAGCGUUAAUCGGAAUUACUGGGCGUAAAGCGUGCGUAGGCGGUGAGUUAAGUCUGCUGUGAAAUCCCCGGGCUCAACCUGGGAAUGGCAGUGGAUACUGGCUCGCUAGAGUGUGUCAGAGGAUGGUGGAAUUCCCGGUGUAGCGGUGAAAUGCGUAGAGAUCGGGAGGAACAUCAGUGGCGAAGGCGGCCGUCUGGGACAACACUGACGCUGAGGCACGAAAGCGUGGGGAGCAAACAGGAUUAGAUACCCCUGUAGUCCCUGUCUCUUAUAC